Molecule: long non-coding RNA, 2097 nt
Filed under: Gallus gallus (chicken)
Lineage: Eukaryota; Metazoa; Chordata; Aves; Galliformes; Phasianidae
Source: RNAcentral
UUCAGUUUGUUAAUUGCAAGUUGGAAGAGAUUCUAUAGGCAGCAGAAAAUAGCGUGGCAGGUCUUAAACAUCUCACUUUUAAGAGAACUUGGUCAUAAUUUUAUCUUGGGCUGAACAAAAGCCAGACGUCUUUGAAAAGUACAAUAGCAGCCAGUAAGCUCACCUAAGGCUCACAAGUAGAGUGCAGAUGGCAAGCUGUGAUUGCAUAAGAUAGUAAAAUUAAACUGACUUCUUUGCUGGGUUCUUCCUGUGGCAAUGAGUACUGAAUGAUUCCCAGUGUAAUCACAAGCACUUUACUAGCAGACAAACAAAUGGAGACUGCGUGUGCAAAUACUUGUUUAGAAAAGAAGGAAAAAAAAGCUGAAACAGUGACAACAACAACAACACAACUAGGCAGGCAGUGAAAGCUGAAAUGCUCUGUGCAGCCUUGGGAGCUGUUCCUGUUCUCAGCACCCUCUCACCCUGUCUGGCCAUCUUCUUUUAUCAAGCAGGUAAAACCUUUUGAGUCCCUGUAGGUGAGGGAGGAUUUGUGGUAGCAAGGGUAAUGGGAGGACGGUUGGACAGGAUGUUCUUGUAGGUCCUUUCCAACCUUGUGAUUCUAUGAUUCCGUGAUUUCUGCUUGUAGCAAGCCAUAAAAUAAUUGUUGAAAUAAGGUUUGAAAACCAAAACACUGCGGGUUAAAUCUCACUGGUAAGAGUGUUUUGUUGUCCAUAUAACACUGUAGUUCCCUCCCCAGUUUAACCUCUUUACGUGAACGUGCUCAUUGGAAAGUUGCCUAUCUAGAAUUUUUCGUCUGGUUACAAUUCAGUCUUUCCUUUCUUAAGAACAUCCAUGAUACUUGAUUAACGUUCAAUCCUAGCAUUUCGGGCAAAUCUGCUUUGUAAAGCCCUGUGUGAAAUAAGAAUGUUAGAAGAAGGCAGGUCUAUUUGAGAAGGCAACUUGAAAGCAGUGACUUAUUUUAUUUGAAGAAGAGAUAAAUGUGUGUGUGCAUGCAUUUGCGUUCAGCGGUUUUAUAGCUAGAACUGUUACUGAUGCCCAACAGCAACUUCAUCUUGUUAAGAUUUGUUUUAUAAAGAUGUAAUGAUUCUCAAGAGAGUUUUAUGAAAACAUGCAGAGUUGGUUUGCAUUAGUUACGCAAUUAUGUGCCCAGUACAUAUGCUGCAACUUAUUUUCUUAAAUACAUAUUGUGUAACACUUUUUAUUCCUGAGUGCUGGUCUCCAUAAAGAAUAGAGAGGGUGGCAUCAUGUGCUCUUCUGCACUAUGUGGUCUUUCAUCAUUUUAGGAAUUCUUCUGAGGGAUCUUUAUUGUCACUGUUUUAACUUCAGAAUAUUCUCUCAAUCCGCUUUCACCCAUCUCUCUACCAUUGCCAGACAUUUUGAAUCCUCCAAAAGGACUCUGGGCAUUUAAGGCGUUGUAGCAAUUUAUCCAGACUGUCCCAGCCUGCAUUGCUGAAGAGACUGUCAGGGCCUUGUUUAUGUCAUUUGUAAAGACAGCAGCUACCAGCCCAAAGUCAGAAUUGUUGGCUCUCUCUAUGACUUCAUCCACCGUUUUAAAUCUCAGUAUUUCUUGAACAGGCCCAAAAAUCUCCUCCUUGGCAAUCCGCAUGUCAUCUGUUACAUUGGAAAACACUGUAGGUUCAAUGAAGAAGCCCUUUCUUCCUAGCCCUUUACCCCCACAUUCAAGUUUUGCUCCUUCAGUAAUGCCGCUCUGAAUCAGUUCCAAGAUCUUGUUGUAUUGUUUUUUAUCAAUCUGUGGCCCUUGUUCUGUAGUUGGGUCAAAAGGACUCCCUACUACUCUCCUCUUUGCACGUUCUACACUUCUUCUAACAAACUCUUCAUAGAUUGAUUCUUCCACGUAAAUCCUUGAGCCUGCAGUGCAGCAUUGACCUUGAUUGAAGAAGACCCCCUGGUGAGCUUGUUCCACAGCAUAAUCCAAAUCAGCAUCUGCAAAAAUGAUGUUUGGGCUUUUCCCACCCAGCUCCAGUGUAACUCUCUUCAAGUUACUCCUUCCAGCUGCUUCUUGGAUCAGCUUCCCAACCUCAGUGGAUCCAGUAAACGCAAUUUUAUCAAUGCCCACAUGAGAUGCUAUUGCUGCAC